Molecule: non-coding RNA, 1894 nt
Organism: Misgurnus anguillicaudatus (oriental weatherfish)
Lineage: Eukaryota; Metazoa; Chordata; Actinopteri; Cypriniformes; Cobitidae
Source: RefSeq, a predicted model, not a curated record
AAUAAGAAUAAAAAUAAAGAAUUUGCUACAAUAAAUUAGUUAUGGCAGGGAUUGUCAUACUGUUUUUAAUGUGCUGCGAUUAUGUUUGGUUAUUCAAUGAUUAAUCAUUGCAAACGCAAUGCAAUGCAAUUAACAUUUUACAUUAUAUUUAUUUAAUUGUUUGUUUGUUUGUUUAUUUAUUUAUUGGUUGGUUGGUUGGUUGGUUGGUUGGUUUAUUGAUAGAUUUUUAUUUUAUUUUUUUUAUUAAUAAAUCCAACAAUUACUACCGCUGACGUCACUGUAAGGCGCGAUCCAUUGCGAUUUUACACUUGGUAAGUAGAACAGACAUCAAUAUAGACGGGAACAAUCCUUAAAUUUGCGUAGUAAUAAUCGUUCAAUCACGGUAAAAUUUUGUGUUUAGAACCUUUAGAAGUGUCUCACGGCAUUUCGUGAUUUGGUCACGAAAUUUAAUCUAUUUAUUCGUGGCAGGAACACGUUUAUUUCGUUAUUUUCGUAAUUCCAGCACGUUUUUUAAACUAAUGUAUUUCAAUUGGAUGGAUCUUUCGUGCAUAUAGCACGAUUUUUUCUGCCAGUCGGGCUGCAGUAGGGAAGCUAAACAUUUAUUCACAAGAUCUUAUCAAGACUGCAAUAUAUAAGAAUAAAUAGGAAUCGUCAACAAUUAACGAUCUAUGCCAGCGCAAGUCAAUAUUUAUCUGGUCAUUUUCAACUGGUUUUUAAUGUUAAAAGUCCCUCGCAGUCAACAGCUGUUUCCGGUGAGUUCUCAACUGCAGGAUCAAUAGCAUUCAGCAGUGAGUUUAACAACGCUCAAAUGUGGGUAAAAUAACAUUCAGAGAGGAGUUUUAUUAAAACAGCGUUCAACUGCAUGUAAGACAACCUUUUAGAGGUGAGUUUAACAACGCUCCACGGCGCGUGAGAUUAAGUAUUUUAAGCGUUUUCUGAUCAUGUAUUGCUUAUUAGACGUGAUGCAUGCUGGGUGUUAAAUAAUUUUUAUCAAAUGAUCGUUGAUGUUAAUAAAUAUAGAUCUAAAUAUACAUUUUACUUGUGUUCGAUUAAUUAAUAAGUUGUUUAAUUAUUAAUUUGUUUAUUUAAAGUCCUGUAAUAACUGUGACGUCAUCGAAUGAGACGAAGGUCCAUGGCUGUUUCAACUCGGAAGUUGAGAUGAAGAACUCCAAGAACAUCUCUUGAUCUUGGAUAAGUUGGUUGAUGGUCAAGAACUAAAGGAUGAGCUCCAAAGUCUUGAUGACUUUCUUGGUGAACUGCAAGAAAGGCAGCAGCACCAAUAAAGACACCUGAGCCGAGGGUGCAUUGGAGAAAAAGAGACAUUGAUGGAAAUAUUGUCUAUGCAAGGCCAAGGUCAAGCAGGAAUCAACAAAAGAAAGCUGAUCACAUUCGGAACACUGAUCCUCCCAAUGCUCCUGACACUCAUUGUGAGGUGGCCUUUGCUCCAGAGACUGUUGUUGUGUACUUCAAUGUGUUUAAAUUACAGAAUAUGACAGUGGGUUAUAAGAGUGUAUUCACUGAACGAUUUCUCAAGUAAUGACGCAUCACCUCCUGGAACCCCAAGAGAUCCUCUUCAGGCUUCCUCAAACUGGAGCACACACAAAUUCUCUUUUCAGAGAGGUGGAGGGCAGAGAGACCCUGUCUGCUGAACACGGCUGUGGCACAAGAAAAUGUGGCAGCACAUUUGCCAGAGUGUGGGAGAAGCCCAAGCUGUUAUCCAGUGUUGUGACUGACGACCUCGUCCCUUCUUCUGUGCUGAAUUUGACGUCAUCAUGUCCUCCAUAGCAGAGAUGCCAUGACUGCUGGAUUCUUCCAGCCAUUGCCUCCAACAACUGCUGUGGUGGAUAAGGCUCUUUCCCAUUGUGAGUCAUUAAGUGUCUGUCCAGGAAAGACA